Molecule: ribosomal RNA, 392 nt
Filed under: uncultured bacterium
Lineage: Bacteria
Description: bacterial SSU rRNA
Rfam family: Bacterial small subunit ribosomal RNA
Source: RNAcentral
AACGAACGCUGGCGGCGCGCCUAAUACAUGCAAGUCGAGCGAGAAGACGUAGCAAUACGUUUGUAAAGCGGCGAACGGGUGAGGAAUACAUGGGUAACCUACCCUCGAGUGGGGAAUAACUAGCCGAAAGGUUAGCUAAUACCGCGUACGCUCCUUGGACUUCGGUUCAGGGAGGAAAGCGAUACCGUGGGUAUCGCGCUCUUGGAUGGGGCUCAUGUCCUAUCAGCUUGUUGGUGAGGAACGGCGUCACCAAGGCUUCGACGGGUAGCCUGGUCUGAGAGGACGGAUCAGCCACACUGGCACUGCGACACGGGCCAGACUCCUACGGGAGGCAGCAGUAAGGAAUAUUGCGCAAUGGGCGAAAGCCUGACGCAGCGACGCCGCGUGGGGGA